AGUUGGUUAGAUGUAGGCGCAAGGGUUGCAUUAAACCAGCGAGAGCCUCGGGCUCCAAGUCUCAUCAGAUACCUACCGAAGCAGUCACCUAAAAUUAGCCACACCUCCUAACCCAAGUGAGGGUUUUAUGUUUGUUUAUGUUAAGUAGCUCUAAAUUUCAGCAAUCCUACCUUUCUGGGCACAGUUUUGUGGAGCUGGUAGAGUAGAAAGAGUGGUUGUUGGGGUAAUUUUUAUUAAUGGCCUAAGUUGGACCUUUCAUAACUAUGAUAUUCAUCUGUUUUUUUCUAUUUAAAUGUGUUUGGAGUCCCCAGGAGUUCCCUGGUGGCCUUGUGGGUUAAGGACCUGCUGUUGUCACUGCUGUGGCUCUGGUUACUUGUGUGGCGUGGGUUCAGUCCCUGGCGUGGGAACAUCCACAUGCUGCAGCUCCCUCGCCAAAAAAAAAAGGAGCAUCCAGCAGGCAGUAUUAGGACUCGGACUUCCAAAAUGGAUUAGGUCCACAGAUUCCUAGACCUUUUACCUUUAGACGUCUGCUUUCCUCUGUAUUCCUGGGCCUAAUGCUGAGGUAGAUGGAAGAUAAGAGUUUGUUUAGGAAGCUUGAUUCCUAUGAAAGAGGACUGGUGGGUUUUUUGGGUUUUCAAGGAGCCAACCUGAUUCAGCACCAAGCUUUUAUUUUGGAGCAAUCUGGAGGGAUAUAGGAUCACCCAUGGUGACCCUUGCCUGCGUCAUUCCAGGCAGGCCUUGGCAGGCUCCAGCAGAUGAGUAAGGACGAGGGCAAUUGGCAGGAGGACCCGCUGAGUUCAUCUUGCUUCAUAUCUCAGGAACUGGCCUGACCUCGUUCCAUCAUCAGUGUUUGGGCAUUCUGAGAAACACCGGACCAUCUCUCAAGGGUUCUGGAGAUUGUGUUGGAAGCAGCAUGCUCUCCUACUGGGAAGGAACACCUGCUUUAUUGCUGAGAGCACACAGGAGGGAACCCUUUGCUCUCAGUGUUGGGAGGCCUCUGAAGACCUUGGCAGUGAGGGCCAUGGUAUGUCGUGGAAAGAACAUAGACCUCAGAGCCAUUGCGUAGUCGUGUGACCUUCAGCGACUUAAUCUCUGAUCCUCAACUUCCUGAUC
This 1113-nucleotide long non-coding RNA is filed under the name Sus scrofa (pig). RNAcentral's name for it is "lncRNA (ENSSSCG00005026886.1)". The record is from RNAcentral. Lineage: Eukaryota; Metazoa; Chordata; Mammalia; Artiodactyla; Suidae.